AUGAAGUUACAUGGUGUAAAGGCAAGCACGGCCCUGGUACAAUCCCCAGAGGCUCUGUUGGUGCAUGAAGGUGAAAGGGUGGAAAUCCGGUGUGCCCUGGAGAGCAGCAAUGUGAAAUACACUGUGGAGAAGUUCCAGGGACACUGGUACAACUCACACAAUAAAUUGACAUUGGAUGGAAUAAUCCUCACUCUGUACCCUGAUGGUAGAGUUUACAGGUCACGGGGCUAUUCCGAGCGAUUUCAACUUUCCAGGGACAUCACCAGUAACAGCUAUUUUCUGACCAUCAGAGAGGUGAAGAUCAAUGACUCUGAUGAUUACAUCUGUGGCAUUUGGGGGAACACCUUUGGAAAAGGAACCCAGCUAAUUGUAACCAACGUGUGA
Molecule: non-coding RNA, 384 nt
Organism: Amblyraja radiata (thorny skate)
Lineage: Eukaryota; Metazoa; Chordata; Chondrichthyes; Rajiformes; Rajidae
Source: the annotation of a RefSeq genome assembly